RNAcentral lists this unclassified non-coding RNA (89 nucleotides) under Pseudomonas cedrina. The record is from RNAcentral. Lineage: Bacteria; Pseudomonadati; Pseudomonadota; Gammaproteobacteria; Pseudomonadales; Pseudomonadaceae.
UGUGGGAGCUGGCUUGCCUGCGAUAGCGGUGUAUCAGUCAUAGCUGUUUUUACUGAAAGACCGCUAUCGCAGGCAAGCCAGCUCCCACA